AGCGAACGCUGGCGGCAGGCUUAACACAUGCAAGUCGAGCGGGCACUUUCGGGUGUCAGCGGCGGACGGGUGAGUAACGCGUGGGAACGUGCCCUCUGGUUCGGAAUAACUCAGGGAAACUUGAGCUAAUACCGGAUACGCCCUUUUGGGGAAAGGCUUGCUGCCGGAGGAUCGGCCCGCGUCUGAUUAGCUAGUUGGUGAGGUAACGGCUCACCAAGGCGAGGAUCAGUAGCUGGGCUGAGAGGAUGAUCAGCCACACUGGGACUGAGACACGGCCCAGACUCUUACGGGAGGCAGGAGUGGGGAAUAUUGGACCAUGGGCGCAAGGCUGAUCCAGCCAGGCCGCGUGAGUGAUGAAGGCCUUAGGGUUGUAAAGCUCUUUUAUCCGGGACGAUAAUGACGGUACCGGAGGAAUAAGCCCCGGCUAACUUCGUG
Molecule: ribosomal RNA, 435 nt
Filed under: uncultured bacterium
Lineage: Bacteria
Description: partial 16S ribosomal RNA
Rfam family: Bacterial small subunit ribosomal RNA
Source: RNAcentral